RNAcentral lists this transfer RNA (72 nucleotides) under Cavia porcellus (domestic guinea pig). It matches the Rfam family "tRNA". From Rfam's summary of the family: Transfer RNA (tRNA) molecules are approximately 80 nucleotides in length. Their secondary structure includes four short double-helical elements and three loops (D, anti-codon, and T loops). Further hydrogen bonds mediate the characteristic L-shaped molecular structure. tRNAs have two regions of fundamental functional importance: the anti-codon, which is responsible for specific mRNA codon recognition, and the 3' end, to which the tRNAs corresponding amino acid is attached (by aminoacyl-tRNA synthetases). tRNAs cope with the degeneracy of the genetic code in two manners: having more than one tRNA (with a specific anti-codon) for a particular amino acid; and 'wobble' base-pairing, i.e. permitting non-standard base-pairing at the 3rd anti-codon position. Lineage: Eukaryota; Metazoa; Chordata; Mammalia; Rodentia; Caviidae. The record is from Rfam by way of RNAcentral.
GGGGAUAUAGCUCAGAAACAUAGUGCAUGCCUAGCAAGUAUGAGGUCAUAAGUUCAAUUCCUAAUACCCCCC